UACAUGGAAAACAGUGAAACUUGGUGGGUGGAAAAGGUCUGAGCUGCUGGUGAGUAACAGGAGAAACAGCUCACACUCAGGACAUCAGCAAAGCAGCUCAACCUUCCUUAAUGCAUUCCUUUUGAUGUUCAAGUGGGUAAAUCAGGAGGCAAUCACUGCAAAUCAUAUAUUAAAUCUGGUGAUUGAAAUUAUCCCUGAAAUACAACGAGGCAGGGCUGAAUACAUUAAACCCAUUACCAGGCGACCAGGUGACAGGCAAGACUCUCUUUGGGAGUCUUCUGGGUGCUGACACCGGCAUCGGUAGGCUUCAGGGGCCAAAUUCCUCCCUCGUUGCCUUGAUUCCAACAGAUUCAUUAAGACCCAUCUACUCAAUCGUAUGGCGGAUGCUCCCUCUGCUCUGGGAUCUUCCUUCUUAUCUAACUCCACACGAGCAGGACACCGCAGAGACACCGAGCACUUAUUACAUCACCCGCGGUAACAGCGGGCCUCGAAAUAAAGACCAGGACUCCCCGGGCUGCCAAAGUGCAGUGACGCCGCUCCAUGGCAACUCGGCCCCUCUCCUCCCGCACGCGUGUGUGCCCACGGCCACGGGGGGAAAAAAAACCCCAAACCACCACAGCGCCCGAGCCACCGCCGCGACACCGGGCAGGAGCGGGGGCUGAGCCGGGAGGGGGCACCCGCAGAGCCCCCGCCCAGCAUCCCCCGGCCCCGCGGGGGUCCGCUGCGGGGCUGCCCCGUCUGAGCGAGCCGGCGGGGUGGGAGAGCAGCCGGCAGCAUCCCCGGCGCGGCCAACAGGUCGGUUCCCGUUAAGCGCCGGGGGGGCUGCAGGGAGCCCAGCGGGGGCACCCGGCGCUUCACCCCUCCCGCUGGAGCCUCCCCCCUUCCUCGACUCACCUCUCCACCAGCCGGCUCCGCCGCUACAGGUUGACUGCAGAAGAGUCUGCAAUGGGAGCCAAGCACACGAGUCAACUAAAACUGCCUUUGCUGGACCCAGGACACAGCCUGGAAACACCUCCGGCACCUACAGCAACACUCCCACAACCAGACUUGGAAGCCGGGCGGUGAUUUUUGGGCACACCAAGGUCUGACCUGAUGGAGGGAGGAGGAUGGCCACAAGCAAAUGCAGACACGUGUAGGGGAUUGAAGAACAAAUGUGGGCUCUGGGAGCACUAUCUUCCUCCCUUGUCAUCAAAUCUGAAAAUCUCCUGCCAUGCCCCAGAAAGCCUCUGUAAGUUAAAGGGGAGAGCAUGCCCCAGCGCAGCACUACCCCAGAUUUUUGCAUGCUAGGGCAAAAGCAUGAAGAGUAGUUUAGAUGCCACAGGGGAAAAAAA
Molecule: long non-coding RNA, 1331 nt
Organism: Anas platyrhynchos (mallard)
Lineage: Eukaryota; Metazoa; Chordata; Aves; Anseriformes; Anatidae
Source: RefSeq, a predicted model, not a curated record